CGUCUUCAAACCGGAACUGUCACGCAAUAUUCGUAAACAAAAAAUUAGGUGCUUCAAAAUGAUUGGGACGUUAGUUAAAAUUCGAGAUUUCUGCUCUUUCUGGUAUCUGCAGUACACUUUAAUUACUUCUUUGUACAUGUUAGAACCAUUAGAGAGAAUUGUCUUUAGUAUCCUUUGUUGUAUAAUCUAAUAUUUGAACUGAGGUAGAUCUUGUAAAGUAUUUACAUAAUAUUUUCUAUGCCUAGGCUAUGGUGUAUGGACCGCACCUAAGGUAGGCCAUAGGUUUGAGGUACACUGUAAAGUGUCUACCGAAUGAUUAACUAGACUUCUAUGUUCAUUGCUUUAUUACGAUAGCUCCUCAAUAUGUUAACUUUGAAUGUUUCUAAAACUCAAAUAAUUAAAUUUGUACAAGAAAGUGACCAUCCCCCUUUUUUAUGCACAUAUGAAAAAGAAGAUGUGGUAUGAUUGCCAAUGAGACAACUCUCCACAAGACACAAUAUGACACAGAAAUUAACAAUGAUACUUCAUCGUAUGACCUUAAACAAUGUGCAAGUGCCAUUCUGCAUAGUCAGCUAUAAUUGACCCCGAAAUUACAUGUGUGAAACAAUACACCUAAUCGCUAUUUAUUCCAUUCCGGAUAAGUUCUAAAAUUACACAACUUUUUCAUCCAGUUGAAGCUAUCUGGGACCCUGUUUAAACAAUUCACCAUGCAUGAUACUUUUUAAUGAGACCUGUUUAAACUACCGUAAAUACUUCAAACAAAAUAUUUUUUACUUCAAUUUUAAUUUCGAAAAAAGUGGAUCAUACUAUAUCAAAGUUUCCUGAUGAUCACUUUCUAAAGUUUUUUCUCCCUCAACUCACUACUGAUGACCUCCAUUUUUCGGCCGGUGACCCAAACAGGAAGUUGUAUAAAUGACUGUUUUUCCCGGAAUGGACGAAAUAGCGAUAAGGUGUAUACAAACCAGAAAACUUAUGGCCUAAUUUAUUUAUAAAAAUUGAACAAAAACAAAUCUGUAACAUCAACAAAAGAAAACCACUGAAUUCGGGCUACUGAUUUUGCACAGGCACAUACAUACAAAAUGUGGCUUAAUUUUUCAAUUGUAUAAAAAAGCUACAUCUACCAAAAUAUCAUUGAUCCAUAUAGAUAAAUCAUACAAAAUAAGAACAAUUUAUUAUUGUAAACUGAUAUUUUGUUCUUCAGUUCUUUGUUUUGUUUAAUUUAAGAUUGAAAUACAAUGUACAUCUAGCUUUUAACAGACUAACAUAUGUUUAAUAUACAUAUACAGGGAUUGAAGUUAUAAUUUUGGAAGACUAGCCCACAUCUUAUCUUUUGUACACUAUAUAAGUAGUUUCUAUACAAGAAAAUCAGAAAUUUUAGUAGCCCACACCAAAUUUUAGGGGCCAUUGGCGAGUAGGCCCCUGCUAAUUUCAAACCCUGAUAUAUUCAAUGCUGAGCACUGGAUAAUAAAGUUGACCUUAACCCAACUAAAACUGUACCAAACACAGCCUGCCAUCAUUUUAAAUUUAUAUAAAGAAAUAUAGUGAAAAAUUUGACAUGAUUUGUAGGUUGUGUUUUUACUAUUUCUUUUCUACUUUAAAAAAACUCACUCUACAAAUCCUUGUUUUAGGUACUUGAUUUAUCAAAAAUUGAGUGAAAACUGAAUUAAAAGGUCUUCUGAUUUCCAAGUAUAUUCAAUAUACAACUUGCAUAAUUAUACAUGUAUAUUUAAUGUGCAUGACAUGUAUAUUAAUUUAACUUUCGUGACUAUUCAUGUAUAUAUUUAACAUGCAUGAAUAUUCAUGUAUAUUGAACUUGCAUGAUUAUACAUGUAUAUUUAACUUGAAUGAAUAUACAGUACAUGUAUUCAGAGGUGCAUUAAGGGGGGGGGGGGGGUUGCUUAUGUAGGGAAUCACUGAAGCAGGACUGUAGUGGGCCCCCACUUAUGAAAAUUUCUUGACCUGCCACUGGUAUUUUAACUUGCAUGAAUAUACAUGUAUCUUGUAUUGUCAGUCCUUAAAACUUUUCCAGUUGCACAAUUUUUCAGAAGCUAUUAAAGUGAAUUUACUGAAUGUUGUGUCAGUUAAAUAUACAUGUAAAGGUAUAUAAUAGGCCUGAUUAUUCAUCCGUUUUUUUAAAUACUCUAUAAUUUUCUUUGUUUUCAGUGUUUGACUUAAAUUGUUACCUUAACACUUAUUCAGAUACUCUUUUAGUUGUGAUUACAGCAAUGUUUAUAUACACCAGUUUCUACUUCAUGCAACCAUAUAUGUUCAGUUUUGUGAACUAUCUGACUAAGAGAAGCUCUGAAUUUAUUCCACUGUGAUAUAUAAUAGGCUACCAAUAUGUGAUAUGAAUUAACCAGUGAUCAUUGGAGGUGCUGAAUAAUAUGUGGUUUCUGCCAAAGUAUUGACGACAAUAAAGAUUGCAUCCUGAAAUACAUGUAUGAAUAGUGUGGAUUGCCUGACAAAUGAAUCAUUCUUUCAGAGAAUGUUUCAAUCUUUUAAAAUAUUUAUUGACAUGCUAUAUGUAAAUAAACAUUAACAGUGAUACAUGUACAUAUAUAUUUCUCCAUAGGUUGUUGGUCAUUAUCAGUUUCCAGUGUGACUGUGUCUAAGAGAUUUAUAGGUGCUGUAAUACAGUAUUUUUAAAGUAUUAAAUACCAAUAAUUUAUUACAUAAUUUUGUUCAAAUUUUUCCAGUAAAAAUGUAUAUAUACAAUGUAGUGUAUAUACAACAAAAGUUAUGAAUGUUAUAAUCUUGAUAAUAUUAUGAUGAAUUUGAUUUGUCUGCAAAAAUAUCUUUCUAGGUAAUUAGGAUGUUACUGUCAAACAUGUGCAUUUUAAAAAAAAAUACUCUUGCUGGUUUUAUAAUUUACUACAGGGUAAUGAUUGUUGUUGAUUUACAGUGAACCUUGAUGUCCUCCAGGGCUACAAACAAACAACUUAUGGAAUAAAGUGAGAUAUGUUUUAAAUAUAAUCAACUGCAAUAACUUUGAGAAAAUCACCAAUUGUAAUUAAAAAAAAAGUUUAUUGUGUAUAAUGUAUUAUGAUAAAUAGAUCUCAAAAUGAAAGAUUUUUUUAAAGAUUUUAUUUUUAAAUGUUUGGAAACCUAAAGCAAAAGAACUGAAGCAAUAAGGGAUUUUAAACUAACUUUGAACUUUCUAUUUCAAGUUUUCAAUUUAUGAAAGCUGCAUGUAAUGUCUGGAAACUACAUGUAAUGUCUGGUUUUAAGUUGAGGUGAUGCAAAAUAAAAUAAAUAACAAGUAUAUUUUUUUAUACCCAUGGCAUCUGACAUGAUAAAUGUUACAUUUUUCAUUUUCAUUCAAACAAUAUGAAAUAUUGUAAAGGUCCCUCAGACUUCAUUUUGAAAACAUGAAACGUCCUUUUUGAAAGUUCCAAUGUCUCAUCUUCAAACCAUCAUAUUCUUUUAGACGACCAUAUUUUACAGUUUGUUGUAUUGUAGUUUAUUUUGUCAUGAUCAUUUUUUUUUUUUUUUUACCUAUAAAUCAGAGAGCUUUGUGAAUACCAUCAGACCAAAUGGUUGAUUAUUAUUUGCACUGAAAACAUUGUAUUGUAUGCAAACAUUCUUUUGUAUCAUUUUGUGAUUAAAAAUAUGGGAAAUUUAUA
This 3623-nucleotide long non-coding RNA is filed under the name Mytilus galloprovincialis (Mediterranean mussel). Lineage: Eukaryota; Metazoa; Mollusca; Bivalvia; Mytilida; Mytilidae. The record is from RNAcentral.